RNAcentral lists this ribosomal RNA (466 nucleotides) under uncultured organism. RNAcentral's name for it is "partial 16S ribosomal RNA". It matches the Rfam family "Bacterial small subunit ribosomal RNA", at positions 335 to 797 of the family's 1533-position model. The record is from RNAcentral.
ACUCCUACGGGAGGCAGCAGUGAGGAAUAUUGGACAAUGGGUGGAAGCCUGAUCCAGCCAUCCCGCGUGCAGGAAGACGGCCCUAUGGGUUGUAAACUGCUUUUAUCUGGGGAUAAACCUACUUACGUGUAAGUAGCUGAAGGUACCAGAAGAAUAAGCACCGGCUAACUCCGUGCCAGCAGCCGCGGUAAUACGGAGGGUGCAAGCGUUAUCCGGAUUUAUUGGGUUUAAAGGGUCCGUAGGCGGACUGAUAAGUCAGUGGUGAAAUCCGACAGCUUAACUGUCGAACUGCCAUUGAUACUGUUAGUCUUGAGUAAGGUUGAAGUGGCUGGAAUAAGUAGUGUAGCGGUGAAAUGCAUAGAUAUUACUUAGAACACCAAUUGCGAAGGCAGGUCACUAAGUCUUAACUGACGCUGAUGGACGAAAGCGUGGGGAGCGAACAGGAUUAGAAACCCGGGUAGUCCCA